RNAcentral lists this ribosomal RNA (467 nucleotides) under uncultured Desulfobulbus sp. Its description in RNAcentral is "bacterial SSU rRNA". It matches the Rfam family "Bacterial small subunit ribosomal RNA", at positions 920 to 1382 of the family's 1533-position model. Lineage: Bacteria; Pseudomonadati; Thermodesulfobacteriota; Desulfobulbia; Desulfobulbales; Desulfobulbaceae. The record is from RNAcentral.
CCCGCACAAGCGGUGGAGUAUGUGGUUAAUUCGAUGCAACGCGAAGAACCUUACCUGGUCUUGACAUCCCGGAGACCCUUAGGAAACUAGGGGGUGCUUCCAUCUGGAAGAAUCUGGAGACAGGUGCUGCAUGGCUGUCGUCAGCUCGUGUCGUGAGAUGUUGGGUUAAGUCCCGCAACGAGCGCAACCCUUGCCUUUAGUUGCCAGCAGUUCGGCUGGGCACUCUAAAGGGACUGCCGGUGUUAAACCGGAGGAAGGUGGGGAUGACGUCAAGUCCUCAUGGCCUUUAUGACCAGGGCUACACACGUACUACAAUGGCCGAUACAAAGGGCAGCGACACUGCGAGGUGAAGCCAAUCCCGUAAAAUCGGUCUCAGUCCGGAUUGGAGUCUGCAACUCGACUCCAUGAAGUUGGAAUCGCUAGUAAUCGUGAAUCAGAAUGUCACGGUGAAUACGUUCCCGGGCCUU